UCGAGAAUUUUUCUCAAUGGGGGCAACCCUGAAGGAGCGACGCCGCGUGGAGGAUGAAGGUCUUCGGAUUGUAAACUCCUGUCAUUGGUGAACAAGAUACUGCCGUUAACUGCGGUGGUGUUUGAUAGUAGCCGAAGAGGAAGGGACGGCUAACUCUGUGCCAGCAGCCGCGGUAAUACAGAGGUCCCGAGCGUUGUUCGGAUUCAUUGGGCGUAAAGGGUGCGUAGGCGGCUUUCUAAGUCUGAUGUGAAAUCCUGGGGCUCAACCCUGGAACUGCAUUGGAUACUGGGAGGCUAGAGUACUGGAGAGGAAACUGGAAUUUACGGUGUAGCAGUGAAAUGCGUAGAGAUCGUAAGGAAGACCAGUGGCGAAGGCGAGUUUCUGGACAGUUACUGACGCUGAGGCACGAAGGCCAGGGGAGCAAACGGGAUUAGAUACCCCCGUAGUCC
Molecule: ribosomal RNA, 449 nt
Filed under: uncultured bacterium
Lineage: Bacteria
Description: bacterial SSU rRNA
Rfam family: Bacterial small subunit ribosomal RNA
Source: RNAcentral